RNAcentral lists this ribosomal RNA (772 nucleotides) under uncultured bacterium. Its description in RNAcentral is "bacterial SSU rRNA". It matches the Rfam family "Bacterial small subunit ribosomal RNA", at positions 1 to 762 of the family's 1533-position model. The record is from RNAcentral.
AGAGGUUUGGAUCAUGGCUCAGAACGAACGCUGGCGGCAGGCUUCAUACAUGCAAGUCGAGCGAUUAAAGCCCCUUUCGGGGGGUGUAUAAAGCGGCGAACGGGUGAGUAACAGGUGGAUAACCUACCUUCGGGUGAGGGAUACCGGUUGGAAACGGCCGUUAAUACCUCAUGUCAUUGCUUCCCUGCGGGGAGGUAAGAAAAGGCGCCUCAAAGCGCCGCCAGGAGAUGGGUCCGCCCCCCAUUAGCUUGUUGGUGAGAUAACAGCUCACCAAGGCUUCGAUGGGUAGCCGGGCUGAGAGGUUGGCCGGCCACACUGGGACUGAGACACGGCCCAGACACCUACGGGUGGCAGCAGUAGGGAAUAUUGGACAAUGGGCGAAAGCUUGAUCCAGCCAUGCCGCGUGGACGAUGAAGGCCUUCGGGUCGUAAAGUCCUUUUCUGAGGGAAGAACAUCCUGGAGAGGAAAUGCUCCGGGCUUGACGGUACCUCAGGAAUAAGCAACGGCUAACUCCGUGCCAGCAGCCGCGGUAAUACGGAGGUUGCAAGCGUUGUUCGGAUUUACUGGGCGUAAAGGGAGCGCAGGCGGUCCGGUCAGUCUAAAGUGAAAGCCCGAGGCUCAACCUCGGACGGGCUUUGGAUACUACCGGACUUGAGUGCGUGAGAGGUGAGCGGAAUUCCAGGUGUAGCGGUGAAAUGCGUAGAUAUCUGGAGGAACAUCGGUGGCGAAAGCGGCUCACUAGCGCGACACUGACGCUGAGGCUCGAAAGCGU